Molecule: transfer RNA, 77 nt
Filed under: Aeromonas veronii
Lineage: Bacteria; Pseudomonadati; Pseudomonadota; Gammaproteobacteria; Aeromonadales; Aeromonadaceae
Description: tRNA-Met
Rfam family: tRNA
About the family: Transfer RNA (tRNA) molecules are approximately 80 nucleotides in length. Their secondary structure includes four short double-helical elements and three loops (D, anti-codon, and T loops). Further hydrogen bonds mediate the characteristic L-shaped molecular structure. tRNAs have two regions of fundamental functional importance: the anti-codon, which is responsible for specific mRNA codon recognition, and the 3' end, to which the tRNAs corresponding amino acid is attached (by aminoacyl-tRNA synthetases). tRNAs cope with the degeneracy of the genetic code in two manners: having more than one tRNA (with a specific anti-codon) for a particular amino acid; and 'wobble' base-pairing, i.e. permitting non-standard base-pairing at the 3rd anti-codon position.
Source: RNAcentral
GGCUAUGUAGCUCAGUCGGUUAGAGCAUCGCACUCAUAAUGCGGGGGUCACAGGUUCGAAUCCCGUCAUAGCCACCA